AUUGAACGCUGGCGGCAGGCCUAACACAUGCAAGUCGAACGGUAACAGGAAGAAGCUUGCUUCUUUGCUGACGAGUGGCGGACGGGUGAGUAAUGUCUGGGAAACUGCCUGAUGGAGGGGGAUAACUACUGGAAACGGUAGCUAAUACCGCAUAAUGUCGCAAGACCAAAGAGGGGGACCUUCGGGCCUCUUGCCAUCGGAUGUGCCCAGAUGGGAUUCGCUAGUAGGUGGGGUAACGGCUCACCUAGGCGACGAUCCCUAGCUGGUCUGAGAGGAUGACCGGCCACACUGGAACUGAGACACGGUCCAGACUCCUACGGGAGGCAGCAGUGGGGAAUAUUGCACAAUGGGCGCAAGCCUGAUGCAGCUAUGCCGCGUGUAUGAAGAAGGCCUUCGGGUUGUAAAGUACUUUCAGCGGGGAGGAAGGGAGUAAAGUUAAUACCUUUGCUCAUUGACGUUACCCGCAGAAGAAGCACCGGCUAACUCCGUG
Molecule: ribosomal RNA, 490 nt
Filed under: uncultured bacterium
Lineage: Bacteria
Description: partial 16S ribosomal RNA
Rfam family: Bacterial small subunit ribosomal RNA
Source: RNAcentral